AGCAGCCGCGGUAAUUCCAGCUCCAAUAGCGUAUAUUAAAGUUGUUGCAGUUAAAAAGCUCGUAGUUGAAUUUCGGGAUCAGUACGCUGGUCAUGCCUUUGGUAUGCACUGGUGUCACUGGUUUCUCCCUUCUGAAGAUCCGUGAUGUCAUUAAUUUGGUGUCGCGGGGAAUCAGGACUGUUACUUUGAAAAAAUUAGAGUGUUUAAAGCAGGCUCACGCUUGAAUACAUUAGCAUGGAAUAAUGAAAUAGGACGUUCGAUCCUAUUUUGUUGGUUUCUAGGAUUGACGUAAUGAUUAAUAGGGAUAGUUGGGGGCAUUAGUAUUCAAUUGUCAGAGGUGAAAUUCUUGGAUUUAUUGAAGACUAACUACUGCGAAAGCAUUUGCCAAGGAUGUUUUCAUUAAUCAAGAACGAAAGUUAGGGGAUCGAAGACGAUCAGAUACCGUCGUAGUCUUAACCAUAAACUAUGCCGACUAGGGAUCGGAUGAUGUUAAUUUUUUAAUGACUCAUUCGGCGCCUUACG
This 522-nucleotide ribosomal RNA is filed under the name uncultured Glomeromycotina. RNAcentral's name for it is "SSU rRNA". It matches the Rfam family "Eukaryotic small subunit ribosomal RNA", at positions 569 to 1092 of the family's 1831-position model. Lineage: Eukaryota; Fungi; Glomeromycota. The record is from RNAcentral.